AUCAAUGGUAUGGUUGAAAGGUUACAACAAUCUCAGCAGCAUGUAAGAGAGAAUGUCUAUCGUCUUUUCCAACAAAUCCUUAGCCAGCAGACAUCUUUGUUUUUUAACCACCACAUUGACCAGAUCAUCCUUUGUUGUUUCUAUGGAGUUGCAAAGAUUUCUAAAGUGAACCUAACCUUCAGGGAGAUCAUUUACAAUUACAGGAAGCAACCACAAUGCAAACCACAAGUUUUCGGUAGUGUGUUUGUUGAUUGGUCAUCAGCACACCAUAGUGGGAGGACAGGACAAGAUCACGUUGACAUUAUUACAUUUUACAAUGAAAUAUUCAUUCCNNNGCAAAGCCCUUGCUGGUGGAGGUUGGUUCUGCUGGAACAAUUACAAAAGCCAGCCAGGUUCCUGAAGUCAAUAAUAAUAAAGAUGGUCAAUGUCCAGCAUCACCUAUAGUAUCUCCUUUUCCAAGUCUUCCUGACAUGUCUCCAAAGAAAGUUUCUGCAGCACAUAAUGUGUAUGUCUCUCCAUUGCGGACAUCCAAGGUGGAUGCAUUAAUCUCACAUAGCUCAAAAAGCUAUUAUGCUUGUGUGGGAGAGAGCACUCAUGCAUACCAGAGUCCUUCAAAAGACCUGACUGCUAUCAACAAUCGUUUGAAUAGUAAUAAUAGGAAGAUCAGGGGCACGUUGAAUUUCGAUGAUGUUGAUGUGGGUUUGGUUAGUGAUUCUAUGGUGGCCAACAGCCUCCACCUUCAAAACGGACCUCUGAAAUCUGAGCAACCUGACUCCUAAUUUCAACGGUUGCGUUCAUACCCUUUCUGUAAAUUAUAGUCGUCUACCUAAUUCUUCUUUUAUUUUUGUUAUAUCAUACUCAGAAAUGUAAGACGCAGGGUGUUGUAUGAGCGGUGAGUUAUAGAAUGGCUGCCACCACCCCCCUCGUGUGUUUUGUAAUUUAGUAGUAAGCUUGGAAAUUUACUAUCUCUACUUGUAGUGAAAAUCAUGGUUUCUCUAUAGCACUCACGAGGCCAAAUUGAUGAAAGAUGAGCACCAUUUGUUAAGCAUGAACAAAAA
RNAcentral lists this unclassified non-coding RNA (1058 nucleotides) under Hevea brasiliensis (rubber tree). Lineage: Eukaryota; Viridiplantae; Streptophyta; Magnoliopsida; Malpighiales; Euphorbiaceae. The record is from RNAcentral.